ACACAUGCAAGUCGAGCGGAGACAGUGAGUAGCUUGCUAUGAGCUGUUUUAGCGGCGGACGGGUGAGUAACGCGUGAGCAACCUUUCCCAGACAGGGGAAUAACACACCGAAAGGUGUACUAAUACCGCAUAAGACCACGGAAUCACAUGGUUCUGAGGUAAAAGAUUUAUCGGUUUGGGGUGGGCUCGCGUCCGAUUAGGUAGUUGGUGAGGUAACGGCCCACCAAGCCGACGAUCGGUAGCCGACCUGAGAGGGUGAUCGGCCACAUUGGGACUGAGACACGGCCCAAACUCCUACGGGAGGCAGCAGUGGGGAAUAUUGGGCAAUGGAGGAAACUCUGACCCAGCAACGCCGCGUGGAGGAAGAAGGUUUUCGGAUCGUAAACUCCUGUCCUUGGAGACGAGUAGAAGACGGUAUCCAAGGAGGAAGCCCCGGCUAACUACGUGCCAGCAGCCGCGGUAAUACGUAGGGGGCAAGCGUUGUCCGGAAUAAUUGGGCGUAAAGGGCGCGUAGGCGGCUCGGUAAGUCUGGAGUGAAAGUCCUGCUUUUAAGGUGGGAAUUGCUUUGGAUACUGUCGGGCUUGAGUGCAGGAGAGGUUAGUGGAAUUCCCAGUGUAGCGGUGAAAUGCGUAGAGAUUGGGAGGAACACCAGUGGCGAAGGCGACUAACUGGACUGUAACUGACGCUGAGGCGCGAAAGUGUGGGGAGCAAACAGGAUUAGAUACCCUGGUAGUCCACACUGUAAACGAUGAAUGCUAGGUGUAGGGGGUAUCGACCCCUUCUGUGCCGCAGUCAACACAAUAAGCAUUCCGCCUGGGGAGUACGGCCGCAAGGUUGAAA
Molecule: ribosomal RNA, 840 nt
Filed under: uncultured bacterium
Lineage: Bacteria
Description: bacterial SSU rRNA
Rfam family: Bacterial small subunit ribosomal RNA
Source: RNAcentral